UACGUAGGGUGCGAGCGUUAAUCGGAAUUACUGGGCGUAAAGCGUGCGCAGGCGGCUUUGCAAGACAGAUGUGAAAUCCCCGGGCUCAACCUGGGAACUGCAUUUGUGACUGUAUAGCUAGAGUACGGCAGAGGGGGAUGGAAUUCCGCGUGUAGCAGUGAAAUGCGUAGAUAUGCGGAGGAACACCGAUGGCGAAGGCAAUCCCCUGGGCCUGUACUGACGCUCAUGCACGAAAGCGUGGGGAGCAAACAGG
This 253-nucleotide ribosomal RNA is filed under the name uncultured bacterium. RNAcentral describes it as "partial 16S ribosomal RNA". It matches the Rfam family "Bacterial small subunit ribosomal RNA", at positions 524 to 776 of the family's 1533-position model. The record is from RNAcentral.